RNAcentral lists this ribosomal RNA (407 nucleotides) under uncultured bacterium. RNAcentral describes it as "partial 16S ribosomal RNA". It matches the Rfam family "Bacterial small subunit ribosomal RNA", at positions 30 to 526 of the family's 1533-position model. The record is from RNAcentral.
AUUGAACGCUGGCGGCAGGCCUAACACAUGCAAGUCGAGCGGAGCGGCGGACGGGUGAGUAAUGCCUAGGAAUCUGCCUGUUAGUGGGGGAUAACGUCCGGAAACGGGCGCUAAUACCGCAUACUAUCAGAUGAGCCUAGGUCGGAUGAGCUAGUUGGUGGGGUAAAGGCCUACCAAGGCGACGAUCCGUAACUGGUCUGAGAGGAUGAUCAGUCAAACUGGAACUGAGACACGGUCCAGACUCCUACGGGAGGCAGCAGUGGGGAAGAUUGGACAAUGGGCGAAAGCCUGAUCCAGCAAUGCCGCGUGUGUGAAGAAGGUCUUCGGAUUGUAAAGCACUGUAAGUUGGGAGGCGUUACCCGCAGAAGAAGCACCGGCUAACUCCGUGCCAGCAGCCGCGGUAAUAC